AUUGAACGCUGGCGGCAUGCCUUACACAUGCAAGUCGAACGGCAGCACGGGAGCAAUCCUGGUGGCGAGUGGCGAACGGGUGAGUAAAGUAUCGGAACGUGCCCAGUCGUGGGGGAUAACGUAGCGAAAGUUACGCUAAUACCGCAUACGAUCUAUGGAUGAAAGCGGGGGAUCGCAAGACCUCGCGCGAUUGGAGCGGCCGAUAUCAGAUUGGGUAGUUGGGGGGGUAAAGGCUCACCAAGCCGACGAUCUGUAGCUGGUCUGAGAGGACGACCAGCCACACUGGGACUGAGACACGGCCCAGACUCCUACGGGAGGCAGCAGUGGGGAAUUUUGGACAAUGGGCGAAAGCCUGAUCCAGCCAUGCCGCGUGCAGGAUGAAGGCCUUCGGGUUGUAAACUGCUUUUGUACGGAACGAAAAGGUUUGGCCUAAUAAGCUGAGCUCAUGACGGUACCGUAAGAAUAAGCACCGGCUAACUACGUGCCAGCAGCCGCAGUAA
This 500-nucleotide ribosomal RNA is filed under the name uncultured bacterium. RNAcentral describes it as "partial 16S ribosomal RNA". It matches the Rfam family "Bacterial small subunit ribosomal RNA", at positions 30 to 523 of the family's 1533-position model. The record is from RNAcentral.